This 78-nucleotide transfer RNA is filed under the name Alistipes communis. RNAcentral's name for it is "tRNA-Pro". It matches the Rfam family "tRNA". From Rfam's summary of the family: Transfer RNA (tRNA) molecules are approximately 80 nucleotides in length. Their secondary structure includes four short double-helical elements and three loops (D, anti-codon, and T loops). Further hydrogen bonds mediate the characteristic L-shaped molecular structure. tRNAs have two regions of fundamental functional importance: the anti-codon, which is responsible for specific mRNA codon recognition, and the 3' end, to which the tRNAs corresponding amino acid is attached (by aminoacyl-tRNA synthetases). tRNAs cope with the degeneracy of the genetic code in two manners: having more than one tRNA (with a specific anti-codon) for a particular amino acid; and 'wobble' base-pairing, i.e. permitting non-standard base-pairing at the 3rd anti-codon position. Lineage: Bacteria; Pseudomonadati; Bacteroidota; Bacteroidia; Bacteroidales; Rikenellaceae. The record is from RNAcentral.
CGGGAUGUAGCGCAGCCCGGUUAGCGCGCCAGCUUCGGGAGUUGGAGGUCCCGAGUUCGAAUCUCGGUAUCCCGACAA